AAUAGGUGCUCGACGCCUCUCCUCGGGACCGCAGCGGUAUUCUUCGACGGCUCUCUAUCCCUCCACCUCCUGCACCAUGUAUCGGCCUUCUGCCCUUUCUUGAAGCUCCUUCUCAUCCAAGUGGUCACCUGAUGCUGCCGAGUGGACCACGCUCACUCGCGCCUUCGCCCGCCAGUACCAGGAUUUGCUCGUGUGUUUCAAGUUGAAUACUGGGGAGAUGGAGGAGAUGUGCCAUGGCAGGCUACUGUGGUGGUGAGAUUCAGAGCGGGGGCUUCUUGUUAUACUUAAAUGCACUAUGCUAUCAUGCAUGUCUAAGUCGCGGGCCUAUCUGAAGAGCAAUAAUAUAAAGCUUUUGAGCUUAGGCACAUGAAUCAAGCCCCCAGAAUCCGAUGGUCUACUGAGCCAGUUUUAAGUUGGUGAGGAAGGGUGGAGCAGUGAACCUUGCCACACAACGGCACCCCCUUCGCCUGAUGACCUUUUCCGAUCACGAUGACCUCCUGUCGCUGCUGAAGGAAUUGGAAACAGUACUGGAGGAAUUGUGAUCUAUGUCAAGGGUGAUGAUGUCUAUGGAAAUGAUUGUUGAGCGUUAUGAUAUAUAUGGGAUGAAGGGUGACGAGUCUAAUGUCUUUCGUCAAGACAUGCAACAAAGUGAAGUUAUGAAGUUCUGGUCAAUUUAGCUUAUGCAUAAUGCUUGGACCAUUAGAUCUUAGUUACUAUUUUAUUUUGCAUUUCAAACUUCCCAGAUAGAUC
This is a long non-coding RNA of Triticum dicoccoides, 750 nucleotides long. RefSeq lists it as uncharacterized. Lineage: Eukaryota; Viridiplantae; Streptophyta; Magnoliopsida; Poales; Poaceae. The transcript has 4 exons. The record is from RefSeq and is a predicted model, not a curated record.